GACGAACGCUGGAGGCGUGCUUAACACAUGCAAGUCGAACGAUGAAAUGGAGCUUGCUCCAUGGAUUAGUGGCGAACGGGUGAGUAACACGUGAAUAACCUGCCCUUAAUUUUGGAAUAACCCAGGGAAACCUGGGCUAAUACCGGAUAAGUAAACCUGUGGCAUCACAUGGUUUUGGAAAGUUUUUCGAUUAAGGAUGGAUUCGCGGCCUAUCAGCUUGUUGGUGAGGUAAUGGCUCACCAAGGCGACGACGGGUAGCCGGCCUGAGAGGGUGAACGGCCACACUGGGACUGAGACACGGCCCAGACUCCGACGGGAGGCAGCAGUGGGGAAUAUUGCGCAAUGGACGAAAGUCUGACGCAGCGACGCCUCGUGAGGGACGAAGGUCUUCGGAUUGUAAACCUCUUUCAACAGGGACGAAGCGAAGGUGACGGUACCUGCAGAAGAAGCACCGGCUAACUAUGUGCCAGCCGCCGCCGUAA
RNAcentral lists this ribosomal RNA (482 nucleotides) under uncultured bacterium. RNAcentral's name for it is "partial 16S ribosomal RNA". It matches the Rfam family "Bacterial small subunit ribosomal RNA", at positions 28 to 523 of the family's 1533-position model. The record is from RNAcentral.